AACGAACGCUGGCGGCAUGCCUAACACAUGCAAGUCGAACGAAGCCUUCGGGCUUAGUGGCGCACGGGUGCGUAACGCGUGGGAAUCUGCCCUUCGGUUCGGAACAACAGUUAGAAAUGACUGCUAAUACCGGAUGAUGACGUAAGUCCAAAGAUUUAUCGCCGAAGGAUGAGCCCGCGUAGGAUUAGCUAGUUGGUAAGGUAAAAGCUUACCAAGGCGACGAUCCUUAGCUGGUCUGAGAGGAUGAUCAGCCACACUGGGACUGAGACACGGCCCAGACUCCUACGGGAGGCAGCAGUGGGGAAUAUUGGACAAUGGGCGAAAGCCUGAUCCAGCAAUGCCGCGUGAGUGAUGAAGGCCUAGGGUGUAAAGCUCUUUUACCAGGGAUGAUAACGACAGUACCUGGAGAAUAAGCUCCGGCUAACUCCGUGCCAGCAGCCGCGGUAAU
RNAcentral lists this ribosomal RNA (448 nucleotides) under uncultured bacterium. RNAcentral's name for it is "bacterial SSU rRNA". It matches the Rfam family "Bacterial small subunit ribosomal RNA", at positions 29 to 524 of the family's 1533-position model. The record is from RNAcentral.